RNAcentral lists this long non-coding RNA (543 nucleotides) under Fukomys damarensis (Damara mole-rat). Its description in RNAcentral is "lncRNA (ENSFDAG00000030085.1)". The record is from RNAcentral. Lineage: Eukaryota; Metazoa; Chordata; Mammalia; Rodentia; Bathyergidae.
GAGAACACUGGAACUGUGAGCCGAAAUAAGUCUCCUCUCUGAUGUGGAUUUAUAUUCGGCAUUUUGUCACAGCAAUAGAAGCUGAACGGGAAGUGCACAAGCAUGAACUGAGAAGUCUACAGAAGGAAAUGCCACCGGAAAGAUCUUAAAAGUUGAUGUAGCAGCUGAGCACAGGGUGUUUCAGAACAGAGUGAAUGGAGGCAUGAGAAAGAAGCUCAUCUCAAGAAUGCAGACGCCAGAAUCCAGCAACAGAGGCAUCAACCAAGUGACCAAACAGAGUGGACAAAAGACAAGGCCAAUGGCUCAGGAGAGAAUGUAAAUGUAGAGUUGGCACUGCUACAGAGGAAAGAUGGACCUGGCCAACAGCACUAUUCCCAAGAAAAGCCCAUGGGUUUUGUAAACUACAAAAACAAUGUUGUGUUUUACUCUGAAAGUGAUUCCUUCAUGGCAAACCAAAAUUGAAGAAACCCAGUGCAGUGCCUGCCAUAUUGCGAGUGAGUGUUUAAUUCGGCUCCAUUUUGGGUUAAGAUGGAGCCAUAGAAU